CCGGAUUCCAACUCCUCCGCGGCGCGCCGCACUCUGGGCUCACGCGGCCCGCGGGCGACUUGGGCCCGGCUCUUAAAGGGGCCGCAGCGCUCCCGGCCCCGCCGCUCACUCGGCGGCGCCGAGCCGGGGCCGUGCGGGGCGAUAACUAAAGCCUGGGAGCCCUGCCCCCUCACUUGGUCUCUCCCUGGCUCUGAUCCUCUUGGACACACUCAGAGCUCUGGGGAACUGUAACGGCACCUGAGAGCUACCCCACCGGGGACUGACACCAGAUCUCACGGCACUCUCGAGGGAAGAGCUAGGAGACUGCAGAGCUACACCUUAAAAUGAGGGGAUUGGAGCAAUAUUCAAGGAGAGCUGGAACAGGUGCCUCUCGCCACGCCCACCAAAAACACCCCCAAGGAGUGGUGGCUCACAGGUACUGAGCUGCAGGGAUGGCCUGUUAGAAAUCAGUCUUAUGCACAGCAGGGCAUCUGCUCUCUGAAGCCCUGAGAUGCAAAACUGAAGGGAUUCUUGAGGACAACGUGGCAGUACAAUCGGUACUUUUACCGACUAAGACACCGAGUAUUCUCCCAAAGGUCACAACCCAGACCCAGGUAUGAUGGCAUAUGUUUACAUAUAUCGUUAUGAAAUGUGCCUUCUGUUGUGUGUUUGACAAAAAAAUGAGCACACUCAGGCUCAUGAUUUGGCAAGUGUGUAUUCAUCAUCAAUUAAAAUCGAUGUAUCUGGAAAGAAAAAUCCAACAAAUAAUAUCUGUAUCAUUCUUAGAUCACACAUCAAUGAACUCCUUUGAGCCUAUCAAGAAUCCUGAAAGGGGACUGGGGGAACACCAUAUGAUUCAGGUCCAGUACAGAAAACUGAAAACACAACUGAUCCCAAACAGAGAGAACUGAAUACAAGAAAUUGAUUACCCUGUUGAUGGAGGAGCUGAAAACAGGAAAUAGCAAGGCAACUAAGAGAUUAGCCACAGCAGGAAGCCGCUUCUUUCUCCAGGACUGGCUGGAUACCCGGAGGAGGGGGUGUCAGCAGAACCCAGAAGCUGAACAGCCUGGCAAAAGCUGGGAGCACAGAGAGGGGGGCUGUCCAGAGGAGACCUGGAACUAUAAAGAGUUGCCAUUGUGAAACAGACAAGAGAAGAGAGAAAGAAAUGAUGCCCAUAUCCCCUGGUUCCUUUCUCCAGCCCUCCGUGCUGCCGUCAGUGUCUCACACUAGCUGAACUAGCUGGAAGCCAGUGAACAAGAAAGGCAGGGAAGUAUCUGAGAGCAAAUAUAAUGGCUGGCUCAGGUCUUCCCUGGUGGGCUCCUACAGGGAUUCAUAAGUAGAGAUUUUAAUUCUUACUAACAUUUUAGAUUUAGGGAAAGCACUAAAAAUAUUUCCAAUUCAAUUUGGCAUAUUUAUAAAAAUAAAUUUUUACCCAGCUUAGACUAAAUUCAUGUUUUUCUUAAGAGAAAAUACAUUUUAACAGUGAAAUAGGAGCUUUUUCCUGAUUGCCAAAAUAUUAAUUUCCUUCAUUUAAGUAAUAAAAAAAUUCCUGCUCUUACUCAGUCAUCAAACUCAAAUUAAUUGUUUUGUCUAGAUAUGAUUACACAGGACUAUAAGCAGCAAAUCCAAAAAUCCUAUUAAUAUUGAAUGCUAAAGAUGUCUAACUACAAUGCUCUCUGGUAAUAUUUCAUUUAUUUUAUAUGCAGUAUAAUGGUAUACAGUAAUCCAUGGAUUCAUGAUAGAAGCUUUGAAAACUGAGUUUAAAGUUGUGAUUCCUUUGUAAAAAAUUAUUUGAGAAAACUAUUAAUACUCACCACGUGUGUACAUGAAUACUAAUAAGUAUACUGUUUAUUCCAAUACUAUCAGGAAACUUGACUUGAUUAGUGUUUUUCCUUCAAGAGUAUGUACAUUUUUGUUAAAAUUUUUUGCAAUUAUCCCCAAACUGCUUUUCAUAUAACCAAACUACAAAUAUAAUAAAGAAUAUAAAUAAGA
Manis pentadactyla (Chinese pangolin) is the source of this 1971-nucleotide long non-coding RNA. RefSeq lists it as uncharacterized. The record is from RefSeq and is a predicted model, not a curated record. The transcript has 2 exons. Lineage: Eukaryota; Metazoa; Chordata; Mammalia; Pholidota; Manidae.